CGGGGCCAUAUACCGUCAAAUCUUGGGUGAAAACCUCCUUCCCUCAGCCAGGGCAUUGAAAAUGGGUCGUGGAUGGGUAUUCAAGCAUGACAAUGACCCAAAACACACAGACAAGGCAACAAAGGAGUGGUUCGAGAAGAAGCACAUUAAGGUCCUGGAGUGGCCUAGCCAGUCUCCAGACCUUAAUCCCAUAGAAAAUCU
This is a non-coding RNA of Pelobates cultripes (western spadefoot toad), 201 nucleotides long. The record is from the annotation of a GenBank genome assembly. Lineage: Eukaryota; Metazoa; Chordata; Amphibia; Anura; Pelobatidae.